Molecule: ribosomal RNA, 1423 nt
Filed under: gut metagenome
Description: bacterial LSU rRNA
Rfam family: Bacterial large subunit ribosomal RNA
Source: RNAcentral
GGUCAAGCUAAAAAGGGCGCAGGGCGAAUGCCUUGGCACUAGGAGCCGAUGAAAGACGUGAUAAGCUGCGAUAAGCUGCGGGGAGCUGCAAAUAAGCGUUGAUCCGCAGAUUUCUGAAUGGGGAAACCCACCAAAGUGAAGCUUUGGUACCGUAUGCUGAAUUCAUAGGCAUACGGAGGGAACCACCUGAACUGAAACAUCUAAGUAGGGUGAGGAAAAGACAUCAACCGAGAUUCCGCAAGUAGUGGCGAGCGAACGCGGAAGAGGCCAAACCAAAGGUGGAAACACCUUUGGGGUUCGGACUGCUUUAAGGACUGCAAUUGCUAAUCGAAGGGCAUGGGAAGGCCCACCAAAGAGUGUGAGAGUCACGUAGAUGAAAGCGAGAGCAGCUGCGCAGUAUCCAGAGUACGGCCAGACACGUGAAACCUGGUCGGAACACGGGGGGACCACCCUCCAAGCCUAAAUACUACCUAGUGACCGAUAGCGUAUAGUACUGUGAAGGAAAGGUGAAAAGGACCCCGGGAGGGGAGUGAAAUAGAACCUGAAACCCUGUGCCUACAAGCACCGAGAGCACGUCAAAGUGUGAUCGGGUACUUUUUGUAGAACGGUCCGGCGAGCGACUGUAUGCAGCGAGGUUAAGUUGUUAAGCAACGGAGCCGAAGCGAGAGCGAGUCUGAAUAGGGCGAGUUAGUUGCAUGCAGUGGGCCCGAAACCGGGUGACCUAUCCAUGAUCAGGUUGAAGUGGAGGUAAAACUCCAUGGAGGACCGAACCGACCUCCGUUGAAAAGGCGGCGGAUGAAUUGUGGAUAGCGGAGAAAUUCCAAUCGAACCCGGAGAUAGCUGGUUCUCCCCGAAAUAGUUUUAGGACUAGCCUCAUGUUAGAUUACCGGAGGUAAAGCACUGAAUAGCCUAGGGCCCGAGAGGGUACCGAAGCUUAUCAAACUAAGAAUGCCGGAUAAUCGAUGCAUGGGAGUCAGACUGUGUGAGAUAAGUCUCAUAGUCAAAAGGGAAACAGCCCAGAUCUACAGCUAAGGUCCCAAAGCAGGUUUAAGUGGAAAAGGAUGUGAAGUUGCUAAGACAACCAGGAUGUUGGCUUAGAAGCAGCCACUCAUUCAAAGAGUGCGUAAUAGCUCACUGGUCGAGUGACUUUGCGCCGAAAAUUCAACGGGGCUAAAACCUGCACCGAAGCUUAGGCAGCCACCUAGUGGCUGGGUAGGGGAGCGUUGUGUACGAGGUGAAGCGUUAGCGUAAGCGGACGUGGAUUGUACACAAGUGAGAAUGCCGGAAUGAGUAGCGCGAAUGAUGUGAGAAUCAUCAUGGCCGAAAGCCUAAGGUUUUUGGAGGAAGGUUCGUCCGCUCCAAGUUAGCCGGGAGCUAAGGUGAGGCCGAAAGGCGUAGCCGAUGCACAUACGGUAGAGAUUCC